RNAcentral lists this ribosomal RNA (253 nucleotides) under uncultured bacterium. RNAcentral's name for it is "partial 16S ribosomal RNA". It matches the Rfam family "Bacterial small subunit ribosomal RNA", at positions 524 to 776 of the family's 1533-position model. The record is from RNAcentral.
UACGUAGGAUGCAAGCGUUGUCCGGAAUCACUGGGUUUAAAGGGUGCGUAGGCGGCUUGAUAAGUCAGGGGUGAAAGCCCGCAGCUUAACUGCGGAACUGCCUUUGAUACUGUCGAGCUUGAAAGAGGUUGAGGUCAGCGGAACGUGACAUGUAGCGGUGAAAUGCAUAGAUAUGUCACAGAACACCGAUUGCGAAGGCAGCUGGCUGGACCUACUUUGACGCUGAGGCACGAAAGCGUGGGGAGCGAACAGG